Molecule: long non-coding RNA, 3045 nt
Filed under: Phoenix dactylifera (date palm)
Lineage: Eukaryota; Viridiplantae; Streptophyta; Magnoliopsida; Arecales; Arecaceae
Description: long non-coding RNA (PDAC_LNC000478)
Source: RNAcentral
CUUUGUUCUCCUUAUCAUGGUUACAUAAUGAUGCAUCCUGCCUUAAACUAAUGAAGGAUCAAACUCAACAGAUGCUGUUCUUUAUAUAGCACAGAUGAGAAGAUAUCCCACGAACCCAUAUUGGAAAAGAAAGAACCAACUAGGAUAUUAUUAUACAAAGGAGUUGCACAUGGAUAGAAAGGAAAGAGAAAACACUUGGUCUACAAAUAACACAUAUACAUAAGUCACUGGCAUCAUGUUACAUAAAAUUCAGUAAUCAGCAAUAUCAAUUCCCCAAAUUGGUGAAUAUGCGUCGUCUUAAGCCUAGCAUCAAGACUGCCUUCUGCAUUACAAUAUAUAGUGAACCACCUGGUGGGGGAAUUGCUCUGGCUCUCCAAGAACUAGCAUCUGUUGUUACAUAAAUAAUUCAGCUCAAGUUUACUACUAGUCAUAAGCAUUGAGAUUAGCAAAAAGCCAUUUAUCCCAUUAAAUACAUCUACAGCCAUCUUUGAUCACAAGAACGCACACUUAUUCUGAACUACCCUCUUAAAAGUAUGAGAUUAAACCCAAUAGCUUGUUUCAAAGCCAAUCAUCAAUGUCUGACAAGCUAUAACGCAAUAGUUAGCAAUGCUUUCCUGACAAGGACAAGCUGAAUUUAUAAGGGUUACUGAAAGCCCCUGUAAGACAAAGCAUCUCUAGUUUUCCUAUGUCAAGCUUUCACCAUUAGUUCUGACCAGCAAACAGAUUUUGGCUUCAAAGCUCUAACAUUCAAUGAUCUGCAAAAAUCACAGAGUCGUUUACCUACUCUUCCAAGGAUUUCUUGUUUCCACAAAUAAUACACGUUCUUGAAAAUUUAUAAACAUGAAUAUACAUACCGGAUGAUGAUCAAUAGUUAACUAUGCCAUUCAGAUUUAUCUUUAGUUCUUCACUAAACAUCAUCCCUUGUAUAUGACAGGUUUACGGUUAUCAUGGAGAAAGCAAUAAUUUCUCAAGAUAGCAGCGUGCCACCCACGUCUUCAAAUGCAAUAAAGCAGCAUUAGCACCCCUUAAAGUUUUGACAUGAUUAGAAGAAACAACUACCUCUUAUUUGCUUGUAUAAUUUUGAUAUUAUGGUCGACUAUAUAAGCACUGUAAUUGCAAAGAUGUGAUCUUAAGGUAACCCUUUGCUUCAUCCUAGAUGUGCUGGAGGUCAAACUUGCCUCUUACUUGUGGAGGACCAUAAUUUUUUAUUACAUACUCUUGUCAGCAAGCAUCGUAUUUUCUCGGGAUUCUUAAGCGGACGCUAGAGUUCUACAUCGUCACCUUUUCUUGGCUCGUCUCUUAAUUUCAGAGGUUUCAGUGCAUUUGUCAUAUUUUUCCUUGAAGAUGCCACUGGGCUAGGACAAUGACAUAUAUCACAGGAUACUUUCCUGUCGAUAAAUUGCAUACUGCCAUUUCUUUUUUUUUUUUCCUUUUGGAAGGUAGACAAAAUACACAAGGCUUAGCAAGUUCAUACUAAAUACAAUAGGCACAUACACACACGCGCACGUACGUGCAUAGCGUGCGUGCGCACACGCAUAUAUAUAUUAAAAUAAUAUGGUUAGAGAAAAUGUUACAAAACUGAACUAGUUACUAAACAAAGCAUACUGGUUUAGUAACAAACAAUUAAAUAGCCAAAAUAGAGUACAAGGCAAGGAAAGGCAGAUAAACAAACAUCAGACAAUAUUUAUGGCUGGAAAAAGCAUAGAAACAAACAUUGAUAUAUUUAUUGACUUCCCCUUUUGAUGGUACGCGGUAAAACAAGGAUGGUAGGAUCAAAACACAUUUGUAGUCGGGAAGUGAAAGCUGGCUUGUACCGUUUCUUAAAGCAAGCAUCACCUGCACGGUGGUCCUCCUGCGAAACGCGAAAGCCAAGGAUCAUGCUGUUGAUAUAACAAUAAAAUGAAUAAUAACAUAGAAGCAUAGCAGUACUUGGAAAACGAAAAAAAUGCUCUCUAAUGCUAUGGAACAUAAUAUCAAUAAACAAGUUGGCCAAGCAGCUGAAUUGUAAGAAAUUUCGUUCUGCAGUCUUUUCUAGAAUUUGUUCACCUUUCAUCCAAACAGAAUGUAAUUGGGGCUUUGUGCUUAAAUUCAUUUCACUUACCCUAAAUUACUAUCACGACAUUGUGAUACUUGAACUUGAAAAAAGGAAACCUUAUACCUCUAAAGUGCUUACGGAAAUGAUAUAAAUUCUAUUCAAGAAGCAAAGAAGCACUUCUGAAAAUUAACUCAAAUAUCUCCUUUGUUAGUUGUUUGAUAUUUUUUUCCAACUAUUAAAAUUGGCCACCAGAUAAAGCGAUUUGAGGUGCUUCACUUAAAAAUUUCAACAAGUCAAAAACCUGAGCUCCGUUCGUCAUCGAAGAGACCUCAUGAUUCAACUUCUUUGGCUCAAAAAAUUUUAGCUCAAGAAAAUCCAAGAAAACGAAUACAUUUCAAAGGAGAAGAUAAAAAUAGAUAACAACAUUAAUUGACUAAAAAGAUUCCAGUUCAUUAAUUACAUGACAGGGAUGGAAAACAAAAAAACUGAAGCAAUCACAUCAAAAAAAAAAAGAGGAAAGAAAAAGAAAGCGAUAGAUUACCUUGAGGCGCUGGUGCCGUCGACGAUCACGGGAUCCCAAAUGAAAUUGCAGGCAGCAACCUCCUCGACAAGCCUAUUCAUCCACCGUUUUUCCGAACCGAACCCAUCUUCCCAAAAUCCCCUUCUCGAAAUUUAAAGAAACUGCUACCGAUUGGCUUAAUUAACAAAAUAAAUUCGUAGCAGAAAAAUUAAAACAAAAAAACCCCAAAAUUAGAGAGAAAGAGAGAAGUCGAAGGAAGGUAGGAGCAGAAGCGGCGACCAACGAUUCAAUAUCUUUGGAGAGAUUUAAAAAGGGAGGGAUGGAAAUGGAGAGAGCAGUGGAGAAUGGUAACGGGGUGAUGCAGAGGGCGCGAGUUAGAUUGAGCCGUUUCCGGCGUCCUUUUUUUUCUUCAAAAAAAAAAGUGAUCCCGCUCCCCAAAAGACGCACCGCCAAUCGGGUUGGAUCAAAAAUCCAUCAAUGUACCCAUUCG